This is a long non-coding RNA of Oreochromis aureus, 791 nucleotides long. NCBI's taxonomy places the organism in Eukaryota, Metazoa, Chordata, Actinopteri, Cichliformes, Cichlidae. The record is from Ensembl.
CGGAGAGACCCGUUUAUAAGAAUAAGAAAAGGAGGCGGAAUUGAUUGAUUCUAAUGCAGAUCAGCAUCAAUGUCCACGUGAAGAACCUAGUUAUGCUGCCAGUGUCAACCCAACAAAAGGCACUUUCACAAUAUAUAAAAGAAGUGUAUGGAACUGAGGUGCUUCCUCAGGUUGUUGGAGGAUGGAGAAGAGGACGCAGCCGUGACUUGUGAGAUGGCGUCUGAGUCAGCUACUACUCACUAGGAGAUCAGAAACAUGGUGUCCUUGCAAAAGUGGAAAGAGGCCAGGCCUUGUCUUAUAGACAAAAUGUUAUCUACUCUGGAUCCACAGUCACACCGUGUGUGUCAGUGUGGCAAACAAGUAGUUGUGAGGUGUCUGGACUGCCUGCCUCUUCCAUUCCUUUGUGCUGACUGUGAUAUUGCAGUUCACACACGCUAUGUCCUGCACAACCAAGAGGCAGUAACAGGAGGGUUUUUGCAGCCUUCAUCAGAGUUUCACAAGCCAAUAGUUCGGCUGUUGCCUGUGCAAAGGCCAGACCAUGUGUGUGACUGCCCAGCAGGCUGUUAUAACCUUGCACUGCCAGUGGUGAGCUGCACCAGCUGUGACUUAAUGUGGUCCCCUCAGUUAAGGACAUCCUGGGUAGUGGAUAUUGGCCUGGCACCUUAAAUUUCUGCACCCUGUUUUCAAUGGAUGCCUUUCAGUCUUUCUAUGACAUUAAGAAGGCCGCACCAGGGAUGUCAUUUAAGGCAUUUGUCAAAAUGCUGGAUGAAAGAACAGCCCAUUUUUGAAGG